GGCGGGGCUCAGUGGUAGAGCAUGUGCCUAGCAUGCAUAAGGCCUUGGGUUGAAUCCCCAGCACCA
This 66-nucleotide transfer RNA is filed under the name Heterocephalus glaber (naked mole-rat). It matches the Rfam family "tRNA". Rfam says of the family: Transfer RNA (tRNA) molecules are approximately 80 nucleotides in length. Lineage: Eukaryota; Metazoa; Chordata; Mammalia; Rodentia; Bathyergidae. The record is from Rfam by way of RNAcentral.